CAGGCUGUUUGGGCUGUGGUGGGCCCAGAUUUUCUGGCCUGAUAUGGAAGGCAUACUUUGUGCUCUGAAUGCAGGUUGCCACAAGGAUGGGACUAAGACUUUUGGAUGGGGAUUUUGGGACUUUAUUGAAAACUAAUUGCCAUUGCAGCUGUAGUCUCUUUCUUAGCCUGCCAGUGGUAGGGUUCAGAGAGGAGCCAAGCGUCCCGACAGGCAUUCCCCAAAUCCACCCAAGCAGUACCACAGCAAAGGUGAGAUCAGAACAUGGAAGACUGGCAGCUAUUGAAAAUCCCAUAGGUUUACCAAAGUACUGGAUACCUGAAGAUCCCAGACUUCUCUGUGCUAGAUAAUUGAAGGCAGAGCACUCCACUGAAAAGGCUGCCAAGAUCUAUCAGUGAAACAAAAUUCUUCAUGAAUUGAUUCCUCACCAUUCAGCUUGGUUCUCCUUCAUAUACUUUCAUCUACUCCAGCUACUUUUCCCAUCUUGUUCUUGUUAGUGUCAUAUCGAUUUUGUUUAUAAGCACACACAUAUUUGUAAUAUUCAAGCAAUGGUUUUACCGGUGGCAAAGACCAGUGAUAUCUUUGGGUCUCUAGUCACCAAUCCUGUGCUCUUAGCACACCCAAACAAGAUUAAGGAUCAUACUGUCUCAUGUGAAUGUGAGGACACAAAAUUACAACUCAGAACUACAGAGAAUACACAAUCUUCAAGAGAAGAACAUGAUGAGAAAUGUGACAAAAGAAAAGAGGAAUGAGCCAAGGAAACUGAGUCUAAACUCAAGAUUGACAAUUAUGAGCCCAUGUUGGGCCCCAGGCCUCACUCACACAACAAAGUCCUCAACCCACCAGGUGGCAUA
Non-coding RNA from Phascolarctos cinereus (koala), 851 nucleotides. NCBI's taxonomy places the organism in Eukaryota, Metazoa, Chordata, Mammalia, Diprotodontia, Phascolarctidae. The record is from RefSeq and is a predicted model, not a curated record.